Molecule: ribosomal RNA, 200 nt
Filed under: uncultured prokaryote
Description: partial 16S ribosomal RNA
Rfam family: Bacterial small subunit ribosomal RNA
Source: RNAcentral
AUGUCAAAUCAUCAUGCCCCUUAUGUCUUGGGCUACACACGUGCUACAAUGGGUCAUACAACGUGAAGCGAGGCCGUGAGGCGGAGCGGAUCACGAAAGUGGCCCCCAGUUCGGAUUGCAGGCUGCAACCCGCCUGCAUGAAGUUGGAAUCGCUAGUAAUCGCGAAUCAGCAUGUCGCGGUGAAUACGUUCCCGGGCCUU